UAUAGACAGGUGGCUACAAGAAUUCCCCUCGUUUUGGGCAGAGACGGGGGGGGGGGGGGGGUGUGUAGGACUAGUUGCUCACAGGACCCUGGUCCUGGUAGAGCUCAAACCAGGAGAAGGUCCGGUAAGGAUCAAACAAUACCCCAUGUCUCAGGAGGUCUGGAAGGGGAUCCAGCCACACAUCCGGAGACUACGAAGCCUAGGGGUACUAGUUCCUUGCCAAUCUGCUUGGAACACCCCCCUACUGCCGGUCAAAAAGCCUCACACAAAUGACUAUCAACUGGUACAAGAUCUCUGGGAAGUAAAGAAGAGGGCCACGGACAUAAACCCAACUGAUCCCAACCCAUAUACUCUCUUGAGCUCCUUGGCACCCUCCAGGGUCUGGUAUACUGUGCUAGAUUUAAAGGACGCCUUCUUCAGUCUGCCGCUGGCACCCUAAAGCCAACCCUUGUUCGCCUUCGAGUGGCAUGAUCCAGAGGAGGGCUACAGCGGGCAACUCACCUGGACACGGCUGCCUCAGGGGUUCAAAAAUUCGCCCACCAUCUUCUACAAGGCACUACACGAGGACCUGGGUGCUCCACUACAUGACUGUGUGGGGAUCCUGGAGCAAGCACAUGGAUUCCGGACGGACCUGACCGACCGGCCCCUCCCCGAUGCCGAGGCUACUUGGUUCACUGAUGGCAGCAGCUUCACAUGGGACGGA
Molecule: long non-coding RNA, 703 nt
Organism: Felis catus (domestic cat)
Lineage: Eukaryota; Metazoa; Chordata; Mammalia; Carnivora; Felidae
Exons: 2
Source: RefSeq, a predicted model, not a curated record